Callithrix jacchus (white-tufted-ear marmoset) is the source of this 5718-nucleotide non-coding RNA. The record is from RefSeq and is a predicted model, not a curated record. Lineage: Eukaryota; Metazoa; Chordata; Mammalia; Primates; Cebidae.
UUUCAGUGUCUCUUAUAGGAGGUUCCAUUAACAACCUGAAAGUUCAUUGCCCUUAAUAGACUUGUAGAGCAACUAUAGCUGCCAGCCAUCAGUAGAGCCCAGCCAUCUUGUCUUUAGUGUAUGAUUCUACCUAUAUAAGAUCUAGAGUAGUCAGAUUCACAGAAACAGAAAGUAGUUAAUGGUUACCAGGGGCUGUGGAGAAGGGAAAUGGGGAGUUAUUGUUUAAAGGGUAUAGAGUUUCAGUUGUGGGAUGAUGAAGAAGUUACAGAGAUGGGUAGUAGUGAUGGUCGUACAAUAAUGUGAAUGUGCUUAAUGUCAUUGAAUUGUACAUUUAAAAAUAGUUAAAAGGGUAAAUAUUAUGUAUUGGUCACCCAUUUUUUACCAAGGAGUGUCCUAGGUACUGUGAAUUCUAAAAAGAAUGAGACCUGGCCUCAUUGCUGGGCAGCUUACAUGUAUCUGCCUAGCCUAGGUUUCCUUUCUCAGUGUAUGCAUGACUCAAAGUGUAAACUUCCCUGGAGGUCUUUCAGGUAUUUGCUUGAUGGCUUUUGGAUAGCCUGUGCCCUCCUGCAUUUUUAGGGUAGAGGUAAGAGUAGAACACUAGUCUUACUUCUGGAAAUUCUCUCUAGACUGUGUCACAGGAGUGUUUAUGCACUCCUGUUUGCAAGAUGAGUUUGAGAUUGACAUUAUGUGCUCAUAAGAUGUCCCUAAAAUUAUUGCUAAAUCAUAUUUUCAGAAUACUGCUCUUUCAUCAUGACCAGUUUAAUAAACAGUUUAACAAACAAGCUUUGGGCUAAGUUGUCUCCAUGUUAGGAAUUAGUUUUUAAGAAAUAAUAAGUGGUGUGCAAAAUCUUUUGUUCCUGAAUCUGUGUGUCGUAUGUACAAUAUUUAGUGUCUUCUUCAUGUCAUAUCCUGCUAAUUGAUAGGGAAUUAUCUUUAGGAAUAAAUGCUGUUUCAUAUCUUUUUUUUCUCUGAGUAGUGUUAGGAGAGAUUUGUUGAAGGCUGAAUUAAUCAAUUGGAUAUCGGUUAUGUGCAGUGUACCAUCUGGAUGUGUUAGGAACUAUGGGAAAGCUAUCUCUAAUAAAGUCUUGUUCUUGAGGCUCUUAUGAUCUAGGAGAGGGGGGAUGAAUAUAUAAUUAACUAUUUAGGCCAGGUGUGGUGGCUUUUGCCUGUAAUUCUAGCACUUUGGGAGACUGAGGUGGGCAGAUCACUUGAGGCCAGGAGUUUGAGACCACCCUGACCAACAUGGCAAAACCCAUCUCUACUAAAAAUACAAAAUUUGGGCCAGGUGUGGUGGCUCACGCCUGUAAUCCCAGCCCUUUGGGAGGUUGAGGUGGGAGGAUUACCUGAUGUCAGAAGUUUGAGACCAACCUGACCAACAUGGCGAAAGCCCAUCUCUACUGAAAGUAUAAAAAUUAGCCAGGUGUGGUGGUGCAUGCCUGUAUUCCCAGAUACUUGGGAGGCUGAGACAGGAGAAUCGCUUAAACUCAGGAGGCGGCGGUUUCAGUGAGCUGAGAUCGUGUCAUUGCACUCCAGCCUAGGUGACAAGAGUGAAACGCCGUCUCAGAAAAACAGGCAACAGUAGAAAGAUGGUGGAGCAAGAGCAAAGAAAAAUCCCUUUGGUUCUAGAAAAUAUGAAAAAGAGGAAGGCUUAUCAAGCCCUCAAAGCCACCCGGGCAAACCUGGCACUUUUGGCAAAGAAGGAGCAGAGCAAAGUAAAAUAGAUCAGCGUUAAGUAACUGGAAUAAUUCCUACAUGAUUCCUGGUGGCAGAAACAUGAUAAGGUGCGUCUCAGACUACUAGAAGUCAAACCUCAUGCCUUGGAAUUGCCAGAUAAACAUUCCUUGGCCUUUGUUGUAUGCAUCGAAAGGAUUGAUGGCAUGAAUUUACUGGUACAGACAACCAUUGCAAGGCUUUGCCUAAAGAAAAUUUUUAGUGGUGCCUUUGUAAAAGUUACCCCCCAGAACCUAAAAAUGCUGCAUAUAGUGGAACCUAAUGUGACUUAGGGAUUUCCACAUCUGAAGUCUGUCCGGGAACUCAUUUUGAAAUUUGGACAAUCCAAGGUCAAGGAUAAGACCAUCUCUCUGACUGACAACACAGCGAAUGAGGAGCACCUGCAGAAGUUUGGUGUUAUUUGCUUGGAAGACCUCAUUCAUGAAAUUGCCUUCCCAAAGAAGUAUUUCCAGGAGAUCUCAUGGUUCUUGCAUGCUGUCCACCUCUCAGGGCCCAGUUAUGCUACCAGAAAUAGAGUGAGCUUCCUCAAGGAGAUGGGCACACUUGGCUAUUGGGGUGAACGCAUAAAUCAGCUCAUCUGCCAGCUGAACUAGACCCAGGUUCCAAACUGCAGGAAAUUUUUGUUAAUGAAGUAGAAGCACGUGUUUUUGUUUUUUUUUUGGGAAUUUUUAUCAAGUAUCUUCAGAGAAGAUUAUUUUCUGCUUUAUCUUCAAAAACUGGAAAGAAGGGUCAAAGUAAAGUCAGUAGCUGGCCGGGCGCGGUGUCUCAUGCCUGUAGUCCAAGUACUUUGGGAGGCCAAGGUGGGUGGAAGGCCAAGACGGGCUGAUCACUUGAGGCCAGGAUUUUGAGACCAGCCUGACCAACAUGGCAAAAACCCAUCUCUACUAAAAAUACAAAAAUUUAGCUGGGUGUGGUGGGGCAUGCCUGUAAUUCCAGCUACUCAGGAGGCUGAGGCAGGAAAAUCGCUUGAACCUGGGAGGUGGAGGUUGUGGUAAGCUGAGAUAGCGCCAUUGCACUCUAGCCUGGGCCACAAGAGCAAAACUCUGUUCCCCCCACCCCGCCAAAAAAAAGGAAAAGGAAAAGGCAAUAGCUUAUGUUUAUGGCAAACAAAGCACCUCUUAUCACAGUCCAGUUCCAAGGAAAAAUUCCAGCGUUUUCUAUGUUGGCUGCCGCUUCAUCUGAAAUUGGGUCAUUCCAUGGAGGAAGGAGUCCUAUUUUGUUGCAUCUUGUAUCCUGGGGCUUAAUGUUGGUAAAUGAGUAACUCUAGCAUUUGUACAAAGUUCUCUAAGACUUGCAGCAGUUGACCAAACCCAGAGACAUAAUUGAAUCUGGAGAUUCCUGGGGCCUUGUUUUGAAAAAGACUUGAAAUACACAUAGGAAGAAAGGCACAAAAAUAAACGUUCACUUGUCAAAACAAAAAAUCCAAAAAUUAGCUGGGUGUGAUGGUGCCACCUGUGAUCUCAGCUACUCAGGAGGCUGAGGCAGGAGAAUUGCUGGAACCCAGGAAGUUGAGGCUGCAGUGAGCCAGGAUUGCACUACUAUACUCUCUAGCCUGGGCAAAAGAGCAAGACUCUGUCUAAAAAAAAAAAAAAAAAAAAAAAAAAUUUAAAGAAAGGGAAAAUAUGAUAAAUAACAUUAGAAACACCUUUUAAUGUUGAAAUGCUUUAACGCUGAAUUUAGAGCAAGUAGACAGUGAAUCUGUGGGAAGGGGCUUUGGGAUCAGAAAAGGCUUAAUGAAGUAGGCAGGUUUGGGUUUUGAAGGAUUUUGAAGAUUUACAUAGAUGAAGAUCAGAUGGGAGCAUUUCAGUUGGCUAGAAGAGCAUUAGCUAGUGGAAUUAGUAUUAGCUAGGUGGUGAGACCUUUAGAAAGUUGCUUAUUGAAUAAAUGUAGUCUUGAUUGUCUGCCAGAUCUAGUGCUUGAAGAGGAGUAAAAAGAAAUGUCUAUAAAAGAAGCUGAGAGUAACUGCUUGCUAUAGAGGGCUUUGAAUGCAUUCUAAUGUGAGAGUGGAGUGGGAGGUACCUCCUUUUAUAGAAAUUACAGAGCUAUUGAAGACUAAGAAGCCAGGGGGUAUGCUAACUAUUUUUACUGAGGUGAAACGGUUGCCAGUCUUCAGUGUGCACUACAAGAAGGAGAGGCUGAGAUGUGGUUGUCAGAUAGGAUGUUGUCCUGGCUGAGGUACAGCCAUAGGGGAGGGAGGAGAGACCAGGAGAGAAACAGAAGCAGUAUAAACUAGGAAUUAUGUCUGCCUCUGUAGACAGAAGAGGGUUUUUGAAGAUGGUUGAGCUGGAAGAACUUCGAGAGUAGCAGUAAAUUCUUUAAUGGUAUUUAUGGAAAUUAGGUCAGGAAGAAGAUUUGUUUUAUAAGGGAAGAAAAUGAUACAAAUUUUGGGAACAUGGUUUUUUUUAAAAAGUACUUUUGGCUAGGUACAGCGGCUCAUGCCUGUUAAUCCCAGUGCUUUCCAAAGCAGGAGGAUCACUUGAGCUCAGGAGUUCUAGACUAGCCUGGGCAAUCUAGGGAGAUCUUAGUUUUUACUAAAAAUUUUUAAAAAAAUGAGCUGGGUGUGGUAGUGGGUGCCUGUAGCGCUGGCUUCUCAGGAACCUGAAGUGGGAGGAUGCUUGAGCCCUGUAGACUGAGGCUGCAGUGAGCUCUGACUCUACCACUGCACUGCAGCCUGGUUGAAAAACCUGUCUCAAAAAAAAAAAAAAAAAAAGGAGUGCUUAUAUCUGUAUUAUGUGCAUAAAAAUUCUGUAAUAAAACAGGAUAGUUGUCAUCUUUUUGUUAUUAAGAUGAAGAGAUUGAGGCUGCCAGUUUGCCAGAGGUCACAUUGUUAGUCAUUUGUUGAACCAAAGUAGUCCCCAUGUAUGUUCAUUGUUCUAAGUGUUCUCCAUCCUCUCCCCUGUCCAUCAGACAUUCUUGUUUUGCCUGUAGUGAUAGCCUACCUCAUCUCAAAAGGGAUCAGGCUUUUCUCAAAAGCAUCAAAUUCAGAGCUUUGGGUAACUCUUCAGAACUAUUCCAACUCUCCUCAGCCACCAGAAAUUUCUAGGACUAAUUUUAAGGAAACACCAUGGCCAGCUAAUCUCACCAUCUUACACAUCCAUAUCAUUCUUCGUCGUCAUCUGCAUUGCAUUACAGGUCUUUUUUUUUUUUUUUCUUUUAUAUUGAGUCUUUGCCUUUGCAUGACCCUGAUUCAGCCUUUUACUGUUAACCCCAAGCCAGCCUUUUACUGUUGUUUCCUUUCUUUCCAAACAUUUGUAAUUAAUGCUGAGGUCUGUGGAAAACACUGUAGGCAGAGGUAUGCAAAUAGGCUUGGUCUAGUGCAGGAACAGCAAGAAGGCCAGUCUGGCUGGUGUGGCCUGAGUGAGAGGGGACGUGCUAGGAUAUUAGGUCACAGUAAGCAUGAGAUAGAUCGUGUGGGACUUGAAGGCCAAAGUAAGGAGAUUGGAUUUGAUUCUAAAUUAUUUGGGAAGUUGGUAACACUUUUUAUUUUGUUUGGUUUUGUUUUCUACUUGCUAAUUUUUUAAAAUAGAGAAACAUACCGUCUUUUAUUAUUGAAAUUAAAAAAGGAGAACAUACAAUUAUUCAAAAGAUGAAAAGUAAAACAUGUACCUUGGUUUUAUAGUAUAAAUAACUAAGAUAAGAAAGGUGGCCUGGUCGGGCAUCGUGACUCAUGCCUGUAAUCCCAGCACUUUGGGAGGCCGAGGCAGGCGGAUCACUUGAGAUCAGGAGUUCGAGACCAGCCUAGCUAACAUGGUGAAACCCUCUCUCUACCAGAAAUUCAAAAAAUUAGCUGGGCAUGGUGGCUCACGCCUGUAAUCCCAGCUACUAAGCAGGCUGAAGCUGGAGAAUUGUUUGAACCUGGGAGGCGGAGGUUACAGUGAGCCAAGAUUGUGCCACACUGCACUCCAGCCUGGCUGACACAGUAAGACUCCGUCUCAAAAAAAAAAAAUAAAAAGGAAAAAGAAGGAGGGGAGAUGAAGAGAGCAGGGA